ACAUCCAGCGAAUUCGGUAGAGAUACCUUAGUGCCUUCGGGAACGCUGAGACAGGUGCUGCAUGGCUGUCGUCAGCUCGUGUUGUGAAAUGUUGGGUUAAGUCCCGCAACGAGCGCAACCCUUAUCCUUUGUUGCCAGCGGUCCGGCCGGGAACUCAAAGGAGACUGCCAGUGAUAAACUGGAGGAAGGUGGGGAUGACGUCAAGUCAUCAUGGCCCUUACGAGUAGGGCUACACACGUGCUACAAUGGCGCAUACAAAGAGAAGCGACCUCGCGAGAGCAAGCGGACCUCAUAAAGCGCGUCGUAGUCCGGAUUGGAGUCUGCAACUCGACUCCAUGAAGUCGGAAUCGCUAGUAAUCGUAGAUCAGAAUGCUACGGUGAAUACGUUCCCGGGCCUUGUACACACCGCCCGUCACACCAUGGGAGUGGGUUGCAAAAGAAGUAGGUAGCUUAACCUUCGGGAGGGCGCUUACCACUUUGUGAUUCAUGACUGGGGUGAAGUCGUAACAAGGUAAGCGUAGAUGA
Molecule: ribosomal RNA, 525 nt
Filed under: uncultured bacterium
Lineage: Bacteria
Description: bacterial SSU rRNA
Rfam family: Bacterial small subunit ribosomal RNA
Source: RNAcentral